GUCUAACCAUCAUGAAAGAAGAAAAAUCUUGAGCAAAUAAACAUCCUGAAGAAGAAAAUAACCAAGUCUAAACAUCAUGCAGAGAAAAUAGCUAAUUGUCAGUAGUAGGGAGGGAGCAAUCUAAAUGCUUCAUCAAAGCAAUCAACAUCUCCUGCAUGAUGCUUGGUUAGCAUUUGUCCAUGUUCCGUCAGCCUGUUCAUAAUCUGAUCAAAGGUGGUAUGAAUCUGCAUAAAGAACAGAAGAAAGAACAUGAAUCUGAAUAUAUAUAUAUAUCACGUGAAUUCUUGUUUCUACUGCACUUAAUAUGUGCUGAUCUAACAUCCCCAUCAAUUAUUUUGCGUCAAGAAUCUUAGUCUUCCAUUAUUGGGUUUAUUCAAUUGUUAAUUACAGACAAAAAAGAUGAAGAGCAUGAAUUCAUCUUCAUGAAACUAAAAGAGAGAUGGGUUAGAUGACAAAGAAAAGAGAGAAAGAAAAUGUUGAUGUUGUCCCUUAUUAUUAGAAAGGAGGACGAAGACACGAAACUGAAAGAGAGAGGUAAAGAGAUUCGGGUUUUAAUUAGGUUUAAGUGAACCCGGUAAAGAAUCAUAUUUACGCUAAACAAUUAAACUUAAAAGAUCACGUGAAUUUCUAAAAAUAAGUGAAGUCCGUAGGAGAGCCUGUUAAGAAAUCUUAAAAACCCAUGCGAUCCAUGACACAAAGUUAAGAAAUUAAUUACCUGUUCAGGUGGUGGCAGUAUGACUUCAUGAGGUACAGGGAUACCGCCUGAACCGGGAACUACCUGCACGCACAAAGUAAAAAAACAAAACAUAGAUUACAGAGACCAAAAUUCUUAAGACUUCUUACACCAAGUCAGGAAAUUAAUUACCCCUUCAGCAGUAGGGUUACUAGGAUCGAGCAUAGCAAUCUUCAUGAAAAGAAAACAAAUAUUAUUGUCCCACAAACCCAGCAGAUUAAA
RNAcentral lists this long non-coding RNA (955 nucleotides) under Aquilegia coerulea. RNAcentral's name for it is "long non-coding RNA (ACOE_LNC000034)". The record is from RNAcentral. Lineage: Eukaryota; Viridiplantae; Streptophyta; Magnoliopsida; Ranunculales; Ranunculaceae.